Molecule: long non-coding RNA, 281 nt
Filed under: Vigna radiata
Lineage: Eukaryota; Viridiplantae; Streptophyta; Magnoliopsida; Fabales; Fabaceae
Description: long non-coding RNA (VRAD_LNC016419)
Source: RNAcentral
AAGAAACUAUGAAUGAAUGGAGUUGUUGGGGUUUACAAUUUCAUCUUAUCCACCCUCUUAUAUAUACUUUUCUUAUCUUAUUUGCUUAUUUAUCAUAUUGUCAUGCAAACUUUCUUGGUCUACCCUUAACCCAAUUCCUUGGCGAAAAGAGCCUAUUACUAAUUACCGGCUUGCUAUACCUAGCCUCCCCUAGUAACUAAUAAUGCAUGAUAAACAAAAGAAAAAUACAAUUGAUCGUCCUACCCCUUUCCUAGGCGGUAUUAGCAUAAUCAAAGAAUUCC